This 470-nucleotide ribosomal RNA is filed under the name uncultured Planctomycetaceae bacterium. RNAcentral's name for it is "bacterial SSU rRNA". It matches the Rfam family "Bacterial small subunit ribosomal RNA", at positions 29 to 505 of the family's 1533-position model. Lineage: Bacteria; Pseudomonadati; Planctomycetota; Planctomycetia; Planctomycetales; Planctomycetaceae. The record is from RNAcentral.
AAUGAACGUUGGCGGCGUGGAUUAGGCAUGCAAGUCGUACGGUAGAGAGUUUUUGCUUGCAUUAACUCUUGAGAGUGGCGAAAGGGAGAGUAACGCGUGGUUACGUGCCUCGAAGUCGAGAAUAGUAUUGGGAAACUGGUAGUAAUGCUCGAUAAUAUCUUCGGAUCAAAGGUGUGAUUCCGCUUCGAGAUCGGACCGCGUACUAUUAGCUUGUUGGCGGGGUAAUGGCCCACCAAGGCUGCGAUGGUUACCGGGUGUGAGAGCAUGGCCCGGCUCACUGGGACUGAGACACUGCCCAGACAUCUACGGAUGGCUGCAGUCGAGAAUCUUUGUCAAUGGACGAAAGUCUGAACAAGCGACGCCGCGUGCGGGAUGAAGGCCCUCGGGUUGUAAACCGCUGUCAGUUGGGAGGAAGGGUGUGUGAAGAGCACAUCUCGACCGAUCUUCAGAGGAAGGACGGGCUAAGUUCG